RNAcentral lists this unclassified non-coding RNA (174 nucleotides) under Halobacillus karajensis. Its description in RNAcentral is "T-box". The record is from RNAcentral. Lineage: Bacteria; Bacillati; Bacillota; Bacilli; Caryophanales; Bacillaceae.
AUGAAUUCCGAAGUAGAUGAUUCGAGGACAGUCAAAGAGACCAAGUGGCUGGUGUAAACUUGGGUCCUCCUUUCAUUGAAUUACAGAAUUCGUGUCUAUGUGAUACACCAAUGAAGUGGGUAAUUGAAAUUACCAACAAGGGUGGUACCGCGGAGUGAAAGCUUCGUCCCUGUU